RNA transcript from Scylla paramamosain (green mud crab), 5366 nucleotides. RefSeq lists it as uncharacterized. NCBI's taxonomy places the organism in Eukaryota, Metazoa, Arthropoda, Malacostraca, Decapoda, Portunidae. The transcript has 6 exons. The record is from RefSeq and is a predicted model, not a curated record.
UUCAAGUGUGAGGAUUACCUGUGGGCAAAGUGUAGGAUGUCAGUGGAGUGUACAAGGAAAGGGAGAGCGUGAUUGGAGAGAGUGUUGGACAAGAAUUUUUAGGCGGCAGUGAAUCUAGUCCUAGAGUGUUUCUUCAUCUGCUCUAGGGGCUAUGUGAGUUGCAGCGGCUGUGCGAGAAGACGCCUGUCUGCCCUACGUUAGUGAUAGGUGUGCUCGUCACCUCUUAUCCAGAGAUGACCCUACCGGGGUGGAGUGGAGUGGGGUGGGGCCUGAGUGGAGUGGUUCUUACCUGGUUGGGCUCCCGAGGGAACCCCACAAUGGCUAGCACGCCAGCCCGGAAAUUUUUUAAAAGAACAGAGGACUAUAAACUGAAGAAAUGGCUGGAAAGUGUGCUAUACACCCAAAGUAUUUACAAACAUCAAGGGAUAGUCGGGUGCACAUAACCUAACGCCACAUAUCACUCGCCUACCUGGCCGUCUUGCCACGGUUUUGGGGAAGAGCGUAUCCUGCUACUGUAUGGGCUGGAUCAACCUCAACUUGUAACUGGUGGUAGCUACUCCAUCCAUUAAUUCUUUCCCUCUGUUGAGACAACUUAAAAGUACUAAACCACUACUCUAACUCUCCUAUUUUUCCCUGACUUUUGAUCACAGUCUCUUCUCAAUUAAUUAUGUCUUACCAUAAAAGAUACAGGCAGAUACAACGUGAACUCAAGGAACUGUUGGUUAGUAGUAGUGAAGAGGAAGCUGACUGGGUUCAUCAAAACACCAAAAUUCCCAAACUUUACCAUAAUAACUCUGACCCAUCUUUAAGCUUUUCUGACCAGGACAGUUGUGAAAGUACAUCCUUAUCCCCCUUGAUAGUAACUGCACCAGAAGAAUUAAGCACAGAUGAUGAGAGUCACCACCAUAUAUCUGAUUUGGCACUUGAAGAAGGAUUAGCUUUAUGGGCAUCAAAAAAUAACAUUACACGCCAGGCAGCAAAUGAAUUAUUGGAGCUGUUGAGGAAUAAUGGGCAUAAUCUACCUAAAGAUUCACGCACUUUGAUGGAAACUCCAAGGUAUGUAGAGGUAUUAGAAAAAUGUGGAGGACACUAUUAUUAUUUUGGGAUUGGUUCAUGUUUGCAAAAUAUAUUGAAGACUCAUCCAGCAUUUGUAAAAGAAAAUGAUUCGGUUAAACUCAGUGUAAACAUAGAUGGUAUUCCUUUACAUAAAUCAAGCAAUGAACAGUUCUGGCCUAUACUGAUAAAGUUCAGCUGCUUUAAGCCAGCAUUAGUUGCUCUGUAUUGUGGAAAGACUAAACCAGAUUCUACUGACAGUUUUUUGGAAGAUUUUCUUCAAGAAUAUAAGCAACUUUCUGAAAAUGGUUUAGUUUUUGAAGGGAAAAGACUGGCAGUAAGAAUAGUUGCAUUUAUUUGUGAUGCACCUGCAUGCUCAUUUAUCAAAUGCAUAAAAGGGCACAAUGGGUAUUACUCAUGUGAGAGAUGUGAAAUUAAAGGAACCUGGCAAUCACAUGUUCUUGUAUUAGACUCUGCACAACCCUGUAAUGAAAGAUCUGAUGAGAAAUUCAAUCAGGAACAGUACAGGGAUUCUCAUCAGUUAGGAAAAAGUCCUUUGAUUCAGUAUGGAAUAUCUUGCGUGAAAGGGUUUCCACUGGAUUACAUGCAUAUGAUUUGCCUUGGUGUUACCAGAAGAAUGCUACUUUUCCUCAUAAGAGGUUCUAAGAAAUGCAAACUUUCUCAGCUUCAAAUAAGUUUAAUUUCUUCUUCUUUAGAGAGUCUUUCCAACAAACUACCAAGUGAAUUUGCUAGACAGCCACGAUCACUAGCCGUAAUUGAUCGCUGGAAGGCCACCGAAUUUAGACAGUAUAUAUUAUACACAAGUAUUGUUGUCCUGAAAGAUGUUGUUCCUAUUAUAUACAAAAACAGUCUUUUGCUUACUGUGUCCUUAUCAGUUUUAUUGAAUUCCAAUGAUGAAAUACGAAAUUCUUACUUACCAUAUGCAAGAGAAUUACUUAAGUGUUUUGUACAACAGUGUCGAGAUAUAUAUAUGGUCAAAGUUUUAUUGUAUAUAAUGUUCAUAAUCUUCUUCACUUGGUAGAUGAUGUAGAGAAUUACCAGUGUUCCCUUAAUGACAUUUGUGCUUUCCCAUACGAGAAUGAACUUCACAAAAUAAAGCAGUUAGUGAGGUCAUCAAACAAUCCAGUUUCUCAAGUUUUCAAAAGACUUGCAGAAAAGAAAAUGUUUAAUGAAUCAAAAGUGACAGAAGCUAAUCACAGAAUAUAUAUAUCUACAAAAUACAAAAAUAAUUGUUUCAUGUUAAAAAAUGAAGAUUUUGUGUUCCUUAGGAAACUAAAAAAUGAUGUCUACUAUGAAUGUGAUGUUCUUUGUCAAAGCCAAACUGAAAAUUUUUUUACUGAACCAUGCAAUUCUAAACUCAUUAACAUUGUGUUUAUGAAAAAUAAGAGUAAUUUAAAAAAGAAAGUAAUUCACUUAGAGCAGCUGCAUAGAAAGGUGAUAAAAUUGCCAUACAAAGAUGGUGUUGUUUUAGUACCAGUUGUACAUGACAUUUCCAGUUAGGUGGGCAGUUGUACAUGGUGUAUUCUCAUGACUGAUAUGUGUUUACUAAAGAGAAGUUAAGCAAAACAUUUCAGAUCUGCAGGAUUUUAGUCUUCAUACACAAGUUGUAUUUGUUAUGUAUCUCUCUUAUGGCCAUUGUUCUUUAUCUCAAAACUGUUCAUCUGCAUCUUCACUCUCCUCUUCGUCUCCCUUGUGCCUUGUGUGCCAGUACAGCCCGGAGUGCUGCUCUUCGGGUUAUGAAGAGGAUUUUGUCAGGUUGAGACAUGGAAUGUGGAAACGAGCAGUUUGGUUGGAGGGUAAGAAAGAAGAAGAGGGUGUGGUGCCAUCCAGCUGGGUAUUAGAAGAGAACCAAACCUUGUUUUGGCCACAAGGAGUUAAUGCUGAGAAUGCCCUUCAUAAUCAGCAAGAACCAGACCCUGCAUCAUGGAGAAAGUUUAUGUUGAAAAAAGUGAAGAUCACUUCUGAUAGUUUUCAAGAAUGCGAUACCUACCAUCUGACAUCUACGGUGGAGAGUUCUGAGAGCAACAGUGAUCCUGAUGAAGGUCUACUCAUGAGAAAAAGGAGAAAACGUUGUAAGAAAAAUCUGCCUGAUGACUUUGUCAGCAGUGAAAACUUACAUGAAGCUGUCCACAUGAAGCCAGCCUCACAGAAGCCACAGGUCACAACCUCUCAAGAUAAGGUAGCUUCUGCUCCUUCACAGGUUGUACUUCCAACACCUCCUCCUAAGGUGUCUUUGGAUAUGCGGUCCACCAGAACCCAUGGGAUGAUGGAGUGCAGUGCAACAAAAGAUUCGGUAUCCAGCAAGACAUCCAAGUCAUCUGACAACAGUGAUGGCAGUGGCCAGCAUGACAGGAGACAUCAUGACACGCCUUACCAAAAAAGAAACCAUGAUCGAGGUGACAAUCUUGACCACCAUGACAGGAGACACCAUGACACACCUCACCGAAGAAGAAGCCAUGACCAAGGUGACGUGCUUAAAAAGUUCUCUGAUUCAAAUGUGACAGAAAUACAAAUGAUAGUUGCAGCAAAAUUGCGUAAUGCUCCAAAAUUGAAAAAUUAAAAUUAGCUGAUGUAAAAUGGUACUUACAAUCAGUUAAGAUCUGCAAGAAUGUUAAAACAAACCAAUCUUUGUCUCAUGCAUGACCUUGGUGAAGUAAAGUAUUUUCAUACCAAGAUGAACUGCAAUAGCGCAGUGAAAAAUCUAGUCAUACCCACUGCCAACAGGAGUCUAACCCGGGUCUCUUGAGUGAGAGCCAGACAGCAAGACCACUACACCACUGUGGUGUAGGGGUCUUGCUGCCUGGCUCUCACUCAAGAGACCCGGGUUCGACUUCUGGUGGCAGUGGGUAUGACUAGAUAAAGUAUUUUCAUUUUGUAUGUUACUAAAAAAAUGCUGGUAAAUUUAUCUCAUGACUGAUUGUACACAGAUGACCUUAUAUAUUGUAACUAUGUGUACAUUUCCCUUCCUCCCCCCUCUCUCUCUCUCUCUCUUAAAGAAGCUCUUUUUCUAUCAGAAUGACAAAAUUUAUUGAUGUGUAAACAGUAUAAGGGGGGAUGUUAGAGAAGCUUAAGAAUGAAAGAACCAGGACCGCCGAGAACCGAACCUCAGACAAGCUGUUCCCGCCACCACGCUAACCUGGUCCUGGUUCUUUCAACUUGUCGUUAUGGGAUUCAAGCUUAAGAAUGGUUUUAAGAUGUGGAGAGAGACUUACUGCUGUAAAAUUUGAACCGAUUGGGAUAUUACCUCAUGAUAUUUAUGUGAGAUGAUAUUAAUGAUCUCAGAUUAUAAAAGCAAACUAGUAUUAUUAACAGUUAUUUAUUUUGUAAUUUAGUAAUAGAUAUAACAUUUUAAUUUAUAAUUUUGCUUUUGCCUACCACUUAGGUUCCCAUGUAUUUUUACGUAAAUGAAAAAGUAUGGAGCUACACAAGUAUCAAUUCACAAAAUGCUUAAUUUCAUUGACAACUGUGGUCUGUAUUGUUUUAAGCAUAUUGUGUACUUGUGGCAGGCCUGGUAUUCUUUGCAUAUAUUCCCCCUGGGGCUACAUAGAUACUAGAAUGUAGCCCUCUCCAUGUCGGCUGUGUGCCGUAAGAGGCGACUGAUUCUGGCCCUGGGUGGGGAUCUCUUUUACUAGCCCAUAGCAGGUCUUUUUACCGCUUGACAUAUUUUCCCUUCUCAUUUCCCUUUGCUUUCUGUCCAUUUUCUUUUACGUUCUCUUACUUUUCCGAGUGGUGGGCUGACUCUUUGUCAGAGUGAGGGUUGGUGUCCUUUACUUCCCAUAGCCAUUUCUGUCUUUCUCUUGUUCUAUAUACCUCUACUGUUUAGGGUGACACUAGGCUGGGGAUCUGCCCAUUCUUCUCUACCUUUUAUAGUCCCACUUGUGGCACAUGCCCAGGGAUAAUGCUAGGCACAAGUGCCAUGGGAACCCAUUUAUUGAGUCGUGGCCCGGGAUGGCGGAUGGUCACCCUCACAGUUCAAGGGUGGUUUCUGCUGUUCUGGACCAUGGCAUGGGGAGGUAAUGCAUAGGAGCAGGUGUCAGGCUAUGGAUGGAUUGUGGCUAAACAAAGUUUUAAUUUUUUGUAUUACUGGGAUCAUCCAUUUAUAUAUUGCAGUUAUUCUUCAUUCAAGUCAGAUAUCUUGAAAGCCUUUAUAUAUAAAAAUGCAAGCACUAACUUUUUUUUUUUUUCAUAAAAUAUGGAAAUUAUUUUGGUUUUGAUAUUUUUACAAGGAUGAAGAUUAUUAAAUUUAUGAAAAAGUGUAAGACUGAAGAAUAUAUAUAUACACACUUUCUGUA